This 252-nucleotide ribosomal RNA is filed under the name uncultured bacterium. Its description in RNAcentral is "partial 16S ribosomal RNA". It matches the Rfam family "Bacterial small subunit ribosomal RNA", at positions 524 to 775 of the family's 1533-position model. The record is from RNAcentral.
UACGUAGGGUGCGAGCGUUGUCCGGAAUUACUGGGCGUAAAGAGCUCGUAGGUGGUUUGUCGCGUUGUUCGUGAAAACUCACAGCUUAACUGUGGGCGUGCGGGCGAUACGGGCAGACUGGAGUACUGCAGGGGAGACUGGAAUUCCUGGUGUAGCGGUGGAAUGCGCAGAUAUCAGGAGGAACACCGGUGGCGAAGGCGGGUCUCUGGGCAGUAACUGACGCUGAGGAGCGAAAGCGUGGGGAGCAACAGG